GUGUCAGCAGCCGCGGUAAUACGUAGGGUCCGAGCGUUGUCCGGAAUUACUGGGCGUAAAGAGCUCGUAGGUGGUUUGUCGCGUUGUUCGUGAAAACUCACAGCUCAACUGUGGGCGUGCGGGCGAUACGGGCAGACUUGAGUACUGCAGGGGAGACUGGAAUUCCUGGUGUAGCGGUGGAAUGCGCAGAUAUCAGGAGGAACACCGGUGGCGAAGGCGGGUCUCUGGGCAGUAACUGACGCUGAGGAGCGAAAGCGUGGGGAGCGAACAGGAUUAGAUACCCCCGUAGUCC
RNAcentral lists this ribosomal RNA (292 nucleotides) under uncultured bacterium. RNAcentral's name for it is "partial 16S ribosomal RNA". It matches the Rfam family "Bacterial small subunit ribosomal RNA", at positions 505 to 796 of the family's 1533-position model. The record is from RNAcentral.